RNAcentral lists this long non-coding RNA (1676 nucleotides) under Lupinus mutabilis. RNAcentral describes it as "partial ncRNA". Lineage: Eukaryota; Viridiplantae; Streptophyta; Magnoliopsida; Fabales; Fabaceae. The record is from RNAcentral.
CCGGAAAAUGGAACUUCAUUUCGUUGGGUAAGGGCUUUUUUGAAUUUACGUUUAAUUCCGCUGAAGAUUUGAGAAGAGUUUGCUCUUCAACUUCUUGGAACAUCAAGCCAGGUACCUUGAAGCUUUUCAGAUGGUCUUCGGACUUUAAUCCUAGUGCGCAUAAUUUAUCUUAGAUACAAUGUUGGGUAAGGGUUCAUAAUCUACCGCAGGAAUAUUACAGACCAAAUGUCCUGUUUUCCAUUGCCGGUGGAAUUGUCUAUCCUAUUUCUUUGGACUCGGCCACCAAAAAUCGGUCAUUUGGCCAUUACGCUAGGAUUCUAAUUGAGCUUGACAUAAAAAAAGAGCCCUCAUCGGAAAUGUUUGUUGAGCGGGAUGGCUUUGCUUUUGUUGUUAAUAUUGAGUAUGAAAAGUUUCCUCCUUAUUGCCUUCACUGUCAAGCAUUUGAGCAUGCUCGUAAGGCUUGCCGAAAGAUGCAAAAAUCUACAGCAGCUGAUCCGAAUGUCGUAGCCCUAAGAGCCGGUAAAUCUGCCUAGGCUGGUAGGCAGUCACGCCCAGUCCAGCCUCCAGACCAAAAUUCUGUCCAGGCUGGUGCUGCAGCCUAGAAUUCUGCCCAGGCUGGUAGGCAUUUCCGCCCAGUCCAGCCUCCAGUGGCGCCUGCUGAUUCUGCCCAGGUUGGUAGGCUGUCCCGCCCAGUCCAGCCUCUAGUGGUGCCUGCAGACUAGAAUUCUGCCCAGGCUGGUGCGCCUGCAGUCCAGACUUCUGCUUAGGCUGGUGCGCCUACAGGCCAGACUUUUGCCCAUGCUGGUACGCCUGCAGCCCAAACUUCUGCUCAAGCUUUUGCCUAGGUUGGUGCGCCUACAGCCUAGACUUCUGCUCAGGCUGGUGUGCCUACAGCCCAGACUUUUGCCUAGGCUGGUGCACCUGCAGCCUAGACUUCUGCUCAGGAUUUUGCCCAGGCUGGUGCGCCUGCAGUCCAGACUUCUGCUCAGGCUGGUGCGCCUGCAGCCCAUACUUCUGCCCAGGCUGGUAGGCAUUCCCGCCCAGUCCAGCCUUCUGUGGUGUAGCAGCAGGGGCCUCUUCGCCCGCUUGAUGCAGCAUUUCAUGCUGCUAUUUCUGUAGUACCUCCAACAUUAAGGGUUGUUUCUGCAGCCAUUCCAGCAUCUGUGGCUGAUGCUCCUGUAGUUGUGCAGAAUCCAAUCUAAUAAUUGAUUUAAAUAUGCAGGUCCCGGAUUAUCCCGUGGUUUCAGGUCCGCCGGCUACGCAGAAAAUUGGUGUUGAUAAAGGCAAAAGGCCAAUGUUUGAGCAGGUUUCCCUCGACCCUUCAGAUAGUUUUUUGGCUAUUAGAGUGCACCCUAAUGUGGAGACAACCCUCAUUAUUAAGCCAACAGAUAACCUGCAGUCUAACCAGGGCUACCACGGCUGUGGUGGGAGCUGCCUGGACAACGCGUGGGGAGCCCUCAAGAGUGGGGAUUCCGGGCUCGGAAAAAUCGUUUGCGGAUGCUUUAAAAAACACUUGAUUUUUCUGACUUUUACGUCUCCGACCUUCCCACGUGUUGUAUAAAAGAUGGGAAAAUUGCUAUCAAAAUUCUGGAAGAUGAAUACAAAGCCGAGGUGGAGGAAUGCAAACAUAGCCUCCAUGGCCGGCUCAUUUUAUCGAAAGGGGACACCCCUCCAAA